AUACUUACCUGGCUGGGGAGAUACCAUGAUAAUAAAGUGUUUUUCUCAGUGCGUAAGUGAGGCUUAUCUAUUGCACUCAUAUGUGCUGACUCCAAGUUUCCCCAAAUCUGGGAAACUUCAUUGCAUAAUUUGUGGUACUGGGGUACUGCUUUC
This 153-nucleotide small nuclear RNA is filed under the name Sorex araneus (European shrew). RNAcentral describes it as "U1 spliceosomal RNA (ENSSARG00000014699.1)". It matches the Rfam family "U1 spliceosomal RNA". From Rfam's summary of the family: U1 is a small nuclear RNA (snRNA) component of the spliceosome (involved in pre-mRNA splicing). Its 5' end forms complementary base pairs with the 5' splice junction, thus defining the 5' donor site of an intron. Lineage: Eukaryota; Metazoa; Chordata; Mammalia; Eulipotyphla; Soricidae. The record is from RNAcentral.